Molecule: ribosomal RNA, 492 nt
Filed under: uncultured bacterium
Lineage: Bacteria
Description: partial 16S ribosomal RNA
Rfam family: Bacterial small subunit ribosomal RNA
Source: RNAcentral
AGUGAACGCUGGCGGUAGGCCUAACACAUGCAAGUCGAACGGCAGCACAGUAAGAGCUUGCUCUUACGGGUGGCGAGUGGCGGACGGGUGAGGAAUACAUCGGAAUCUACUUUUUCGUGGGGGAUAACGUAGGGAAACUUACGCUAAUACCGCAUACGACCUACGGGUGAAAGCAGGGGAUCUUCGGACCUUGCGCGAUUGAAUGAGCCGAUGUCGGAUUAGCUAGUUGGCGGGGUAAAGGCCCACCAAGGCGACGAUCCGUAGCUGGUCUGAGAGGAUGAGCAGCCACACUGGAACUGAGACACGGUCCAGACUCCUACGGGAGGAAGCAGUGGGGAAUAUUGGACAAUGGGCGCAAGCCUGAUCCAGCCAUACCGCGUGGGUGAAGAAGGCCUUCGGGUUGUAAAGCCCUUUUGUUGGGAAAGAAAAGCAGCAGGUUAAUACCCCGCUGUUCUGACGGUACCCAAAGAAUAAGCACCGGCUAACUUCGUG